Molecule: ribosomal RNA, 523 nt
Filed under: Alternaria alternata
Lineage: Eukaryota; Fungi; Ascomycota; Dothideomycetes; Pleosporales; Pleosporaceae
Description: eukaryotic LSU rRNA
Rfam family: 5.8S ribosomal RNA (bases 163-316)
Source: RNAcentral
AAAUAUGAAGGCGGGCUGGAACCUCUCGGGGUUACAGCCUUGCUGAAUUAUUCACCCUUGUCUUUUGCGUACUUCUUGUUUCCUUGGUGGGUUCGCCCACCACUAGGACAAACAUAAACCUUUUGUAAUUGCAAUCAGCGUCAGUAACAAAUUAAUAAUUACAACUUUCAACAACGGAUCUCUUGGUUCUGGCAUCGAUGAAGAACGCAGCGAAAUGCGAUAAGUAGUGUGAAUUGCAGAAUUCAGUGAAUCAUCGAAUCUUUGAACGCACAUUGCGCCCUUUGGUAUUCCAAAGGGCAUGCCUGUUCGAGCGUCAUUUGUACCCUCAAGCUUUGCUUGGUGUUGGGCGUCUUGUCUCUAGCUUUGCUGGAGACUCGCCUUAAAGUAAUUGGCAGCCGGCCUACUGGUUUCGGAGCGCAGCACAAGUCGCACUCUCUAUCAGCAAAGGUCUAGCAUCCAUUAAGCCUUUUUUUCAACUUUUGACCUCGGAUCAGGUAGGGAUACCCGCUGAACUUAAGCAUUC